RNAcentral lists this long non-coding RNA (466 nucleotides) under Gouania willdenowi (blunt-snouted clingfish). RNAcentral's name for it is "lncRNA (ENSGWIG00000020656.1)". Lineage: Eukaryota; Metazoa; Chordata; Actinopteri; Blenniiformes; Gobiesocidae. The record is from RNAcentral.
CUCCGGGGAACAAGGUGAAGCAGCCAGUGGCGAAAAGGAAAAGCUCAUUACAGGGCGCUGCGAAACAAGCAGUCAGAUGACAAAAAAACACUGUCAUUUGUUAUUAGUUUUUAUAUAUUGUGGGAUCCCUGACUUUCAUCGAAGAGGAGAGUGAAGAACGUUCAGGAAAGAAGACACAAAAAGCCGAGAAAACUACGAAAUGAACGGGAGGCAGCAGACAUGAUGUCACUCACAGGCCCGGGUAACGAGAACUCCAUGCCUGAGUGAAUACUGCCGCUCCCAGAUCAAACCAGCUCAAGAGGCUUUGAAUAAACAAAAAGAAGGCAGAAAAAUUGCUGAAUCCUUAACCAACCUGAAAGACAACUUGUUGCUAACGUGCUAAUGACCACCUCCUCAUCUGCUCUCACAAAGAAGACACAUGCAUCAGCGCAUCAUCACUACACAUGAUUCCUAUCCAUCCCAUUCU